GCAAGUUGACCAAAAUUGAGAGUAUGAUAGAAAAAGGCUUGCUCUUCCUUCCGUAGAAGAAAGAAUUCAAAAUCGGACCAUGUUAACACCAAAAAUUAUUUACAUCAAAAAGGUGCUUUUUUUCUAUGAAAAUCCCUAUUUUUUACGAUUUUUUGACUGCUGUGUCUCCAUUUUUCGGUGUAUUUCAACCAGUAAAAUGUUCACCUAAAGAGAAUAACAAGCUACAUAAUGCAAAAUUUUUACUUUUCAAAAAUUCCAAUUCUAAAGGGGCGAAACAAACCCGAGCAACGCCGGGCGAUACUGUUAGUUAUCAAUAAGGAAAGAAAGACAUCCUUGCUCCAAAUUUUUCAGGAACAUAUCUAGAACUACAUAAUCCUUUGAUGAAAAGGCAUUCUUGCUUCAUCAUUUUUAGAAGUGUGUCUGUCUAAGACUACAUUAUCCAAUAUCCUUCCCCCCACUCUCAUAUAAUAUGGUAGAGUGCGAUUUGGAUAAGAUUUUGCUGCUAUUUCUAGCAAAUCGAACGACCACGUAUAGGCUCACUUGUUGGCUCCUGUAUACAAGUGGGACAGUUAUUCAAAACAGAAUGAAAUAGACCCACUGCGUGGCACUUUGAGCAAGUGUCUUCUACUAUAGCCCCGGGCCGACCAAAGUCUUGUGAGUGGAUUUGGUAGACGGAAACUGAAAGAAGCCCAUCGUAUAUAUGUAUAUAUAUAUAUAUGCAUGUGUGUGUCUGUGUUUGUCCCCCUAGCAUUGCUUGACAACCGAUGCUGGUGUGUUUAUGUCCCCAUUACUUAGCGGUUCGGCAAAAAGAGACCGAUAGAAUAAGUACUGGGCUUACAAAAGAAUAAGUCCCGGGGGUCGAGUUGCUCGAUUAAAUGCGGUGCUCCAUCAUGGCCGCAGUCAAAUGACUGAAACAAGUAAAAGAGUAAAGAGAGUAUGUGUGUGUAUAUAUGUUUUUGCAGCUGUGUUUGUUCCCCCAACAUCACUUGACAACCGAUGCUGGUGUGUUUACGUCCCCGUAACUUAGCAGUUCAAUAUGCCAAAGAAAGGCAAAAAAUGGUUAAAGGUAACUUGUAUUAAUCCUGUAAUGCCUGAAUAAAUUAAGUGUUAAGAUAUUUCUUCGUGUUUCUCAAUCCCUGAAAAGUGUAUACAUUUUUGAGGAGGACUCUGUAUAUGUUGUGUGAGUGUAUAUCUGUGUGUUUCUGUUGUCUUGAUAGAUAGAUAGAUAGAUAGAUAAAGAUAGAUAGAUGAUAGAACACCGAAGGCCAAACAUAUACAGACGCACAAACAUAUACAACACACAUACAUAUAUAUAUACAUAUAUACGAUGGGCUUCUUUCAGUUUCUGUCUACCAAAUCCACUUACAAGACUUUCGUCGGCCCGAGGCUAUAGUAGAAGACACUUGCCCAAAGUGCCACGCAGUGGGUCUAUUUCAUUCUGUUUUGAAUAACUGUUUGUCUUGAUUUCAUAUGACAGUUGUAGGCGAGAGUCAAUAUCAUACAAGCAGUAUCCUUGGUUUCCAGUCUUCUGUGAAGAUAUACCUGGCCAUGGAGAAAUAUUGCCUAGCUUGGAAAUACAUAAGGCAAUGGGAAGGGCAUCUAGGCAUAGAAAAUCUGCCCCAGUAAAUUCCAUCUAAUUCAUGUGAAUUGGGAAAUUCAGACAUUAAAGCAAUGGUGAUAAUGAUGAUCACACACACAUAUAUAUAUAACAGGCUCUUUUCAGUUUCUGUCUACCAAAACCACUCACAAGGUUUGGGAGUAGGGUAGAUGGAAUAGUAGAAGACACUUACCUAAGGAGCAAGGAGUCACACAGUGGGACUGAACCCAAGGACAUGUAGUUGGGAAGCGAACUUCUUAACCAUAGGCACAGGAGUGGCUGUGUGGUAAGUAGCUUGCUUAUCAGCCAACUACAUGGUUCCGGGCUCAGUCCCACUGCAUGGCACCUUGGGCAAGUGGCUUCUACUAUAGUCUCAGGCCGACCAAAACCUUGUGAGUGGAUUUGGUUGAUGGAAACUGAAAGAAGCCCAUCGUGUGUGUGUAUAUAUAUAUAUAUAUAUAUAUAUAUGUAUGUAUGUGUGUGUAUAUGUUUGUAUGUCUGUGUUUGUCCCCCUAACAUCACUUGACAGCCGACGCUGGUGUGUUUACGUCCCCGUCACUUAGCAGUUCGGCAAGAGAGACCAAUAGAUAAAGUACUAGGCUUACAAAGAAUAAGUUCUGGGGUCGAUUUGCUCGACUAAAGGUGGUGCUCCAGCAUGGCCACAGUCAAAAAUGACUGAAACAAAUAAAAGGGAAAAAAAACGUAAAUUUAACUUCUUCUUUUCUUUCUACUUUCAGAUUCUGUACAGCUCUGUAAAGAUAACCAUACAUAGAACAUGUGGCUUAGCUGAGAUUUGAUCCAUUUCCACUGGUCUUGUGUCUCAGUUGUUAUCGACUAAGAUAUGCUGCCACAUUAGCCUGGUCAUUGUCAUUGGUUAAUUCCAGGUGAGCCCUGACCAAACAAAUCUAGCAUCAAAGGUAUUUCAUACCAGCUAUGACUAUCCUGUUCUUCACUCUGGCAGUAUGAUUUGAGGGAUAUUUGGCUGUUAUUUUGUUUUAAAAAUAUAAGAUUGUUGAAGUCUCAAAGUAUCAAAU
This 2631-nucleotide long non-coding RNA is filed under the name Octopus vulgaris (common octopus). Lineage: Eukaryota; Metazoa; Mollusca; Cephalopoda; Octopoda; Octopodidae. The record is from RNAcentral.